CCCUUCCACCACGCAGAAGCUUUACUUUCGCUUUCACUUUACUUUUGCUUUCACUUUAACAAAUCUUGCAGCCGCACACUCUUUGGGUCCGCCCGUUUCUCUAAUCAAGUUGUAACACUCGCUGCUGUGGUCCACAGCUUCAUUCCUUGAAGCCCGUGAGACACGAACGCUUCCAUUGAGAAAAACCUUCCAUCAGAAGAAGACUUCUCGUCUCAGUGGGACUGCUGAGUUGAAUGAAAAUGAACAGGACUAUUCUUCCUCAAACAAAGAGAUCGUGUGAUGAAGACUCACCAGAGCUGUUCUCUAUAAGCUUGAAGAGCAAUGGUAUCAGUGAAUUGCCUUUUCAUUUAUUAUCUUGUUUCUCAAGUGGGAUAUAAGUGUCAUGGGGAGGAUCUGAAAAUGGACUCCAUAGAAAGAGACUCUGAGAUGAAAGGUGCUUUUUUUUCUGAAGCUUUGGUAGUGUAACUGUAAGAGUCCUGGAAUUGGAAAAGCAAAUCCAGAAGUUGAGUUCCAUGACUUUUUUGCUGUUUGCCUUUGGACUUGCAUCAUUUAUAUUUUUAAUUCAUCGAGGAUGAGAAAAUUGAUUAACACAAAAUCUUUUCAUGUCUUUUCUGAUGAGAGACUAGCUGAAUCCAAGAAGAGAAGCCCUUGAAGAGUGUAUUCUAUUCUAGACAAGCAUUCACACAUUGGCUUCUUUGGUGCCAGCAUGUUUCUGAUCAGCAUGAAAACUGCGCAGGAGCUUUUCUGUCUUGCAGAGCUAGUUAAUGAGAUUGUUGCUGCCUUCAGAUUCUAUAAAGGACUUCUCCAAUAUUGGAUUAAAGAAUGAAGAAAGGAUCAAAUUGAGACAUCCAGGGGGGAAGAGUUCCCUGGCAAAACUCCAAUCUGCCUGAGCACUGAGGUGGAGCCACAGAAGUCCGGGUCAUUUGCACCUGGGAGGAGCCUGGCCCCUCCUCUUCCUGUGUGGAAUCUGGGAUUUAAUCUGUGAGGAGGGAAGGCCAAGGGCAGGAAGCACAGGCUCUCACUUCACUAAGAGUCUCUGUUUCCCCUUUUUUUCCUUUAUGCCUAAUUAAUAAAUCCCAUUUUUCUCACUCUUCAAAUAGUCUUCAAGCCUAAAUUUUCAUGACCAUGGAACAAGGACCCCAUCUUUAGCUGAACUAAGGAAAAGUCCUGCAACAAAAUUCUUUGCUAAAAAUACAUGAGGUUGCCUUUUCCUUCUUAAUCUUAAAAGAAAUAUAUUUCAAUGGUUAACGUUUUAGUAAUUCAAAAAUUAUCAAGCAUUUGUUCACAACCAUAAGAUGUGCAUUGUUUUAUAUUCCUACUUAAUAAUAGACUAUAAUUGUCUAAUUAG
RNAcentral lists this long non-coding RNA (1348 nucleotides) under Homo sapiens (human). RNAcentral's name for it is "long intergenic non-protein coding RNA 2328". Lineage: Eukaryota; Metazoa; Chordata; Mammalia; Primates; Hominidae. The record is from RNAcentral.